Molecule: long non-coding RNA, 3946 nt
Organism: Prionailurus viverrinus (fishing cat)
Lineage: Eukaryota; Metazoa; Chordata; Mammalia; Carnivora; Felidae
Exons: 3
Source: RefSeq, a predicted model, not a curated record
UGGGGCUCAGAGACCUGGGUUCAAGGCCAGCCUCUGCCAAGUGCCAUCCAGAUCCAGAACCUCUCUGAGCCUCAGUUUCCUCAUCUAUACAAUGGGGCCAGAGCAUCUGUUCUGUCGGCCUCCUGGCAGGAAACGGGCUGGGGCGGGCCGGGAGGGGGCAGGGUCUCAGAGGCCCUGUGGAGAUCUUAGGUCAGUUAGAAGUGUCCCUUUCUGGCCAGUGCAGCGGGAUAUGGUCCUCCCCUCAAAGGCUCACUUGGAAAGGUGUGACCUGGGGCCUCAGCGGUGGGGGAAGCGGGGCCCAGCUGGGAGCCAGUGCUCGGGGCCCGUGAAGCUCUGUUAGGCCAAGUGCAGCUCCUCGGGCCCACUGGCUGGAGGGGCCGCCCAGCAAGGCCGAGCACGACCUUUCUCAGCCCCCUGGUGGUUACCAUCACUAACCAAAGCCGUGUUGCCCUGAGGGAGGCGGUCAGCUCCCUCCCCACCCCCGGGCCGAUUUCAAAGUGCGAGUCAACCCAGGGGCUGCUGCCGAUGCCGGGUCCUGCCUGCACGGGCCAUGCAUGGGAGUGAGCUCCCCGUCCGUGGGACAUCCGACCCCGUUCACAGACUCUCCCCGGGCUCCACGGUGCAGAACAAGAGGUGAGUCUCGGAGCAGUGAGGUGGCCGAGCUGAGAGCCCGCAGCCCAUCGGGGUGGAGGGAGGCCAGUCCCUGAGUGGUGGCAGGGCCCCUCAGCAUUGUGGUGCCCUGGGCCGGGCCGCCGGGCACAGCCAGGGUGCCCUGCUGCAUUGGUACCCUGCUCUGAAGAGGAGUCCUCGCCAGUGAUGGGACAGCGGGGACCCCCUGGGGGCAGGAGCAGGAAGGGGGAGGACAAGGAGGAGGCGGGAGGCCCCAACAUCGGGGGACAGCCUGCACGGAAUGCUGCACCCCUAGGUGGAUGCCCCGGGGGACAGAGGGGAGGCUCGGGGUCCCUCUCCCGCCAGAGGCCCUAAGGGAGGAUCCUUCCCGCCUCCUCCAACUUUGGGGGCCCCAGGCGUCCCUGGGCCGGUGGCUGCGUGGCUGCAGCCUCUGCCUCCGUGGCCACGUGGCCCCUGCUCUCCGUGUGCUCUCCUCUUCCGUCUCCUGUAAGGACGCUUGUCAUGGGAUUCAGGGCCCGGCCUCACCCGGGAUGAUCUACAAAGACCCUUAUGGGAAAUAAAGUCACGCUCUGAGGUUCUGGGGGUUAAGACACGACGUCUGCUCGGGCGGGUGGGCCUGCAGUUCAGUCUGCUACACCUCCUGCGGCGAGGUCCAAGAGAAAAUAACACCACCCGAUACAAUCAGUUCCGGUAAAACCCGUGUCUGCACAUGUCUUCUCCGCACUCUCCCUUCUCGUCCCUCUGUGUCAUUUGGGCUCUUCCCUUGCAAGACGGGCCUGUCGAUGACCCCACCUGUGCCACAGGCGCAGGUCCCAGAGGGGGGGACAGAGAUGACAGGGGAGGGGUCCCGGAGGCGGGCCCAGCACGGUCCCCUGCACGUGGUAAGUGAUCCGUAAUGUCGUGAAAGAAACUGAUGCCCCCAGGAGGUCGUUGUCCGGUGCAAGGGGGCAGAGGGGCCAGGACCCGGGGCCUGACCUCUGAGUCCUUGGCUGUGUCUGAGCUGGAGGCCAGCCCCUGCCCACCCCAUACGCCCCCACCGCAAGAAGGAGCCCCCGGGAGCACUGCCUGCAACCACACGUUAGCCUCAUUCCCGUCUCCAAAGGGUCCAGCCUGCGCCCCGGUCAGAUCUGCCCGCUGCCUGCUUUCGUGCGGCCCAUGAGCCAAGAAUGGCUGUUCCAUUUCAUUAUUAUUUUUUAAGACUUUAUUUUUAAGCAAUCUCCACAGCCGACGCGGGGCUCGAACCCCCAACCGCGAGAUCAGGAGUCGCGCGCCCCGCCGACACAGCCAGCCAGGCGCCCCUCUCCUCCGGUCUUCAACGGGUGAAAAAACUCACAAGAAUACAAAUACACGUGAACAGGACACGGGUUUCCCAGUCGGCGUCCAUCCGCGGGUGUUCUUGGCACACAGCUGUCCGUUCAUCGACGUUGCUGGGGCCGCUUUCCUUCCACGAGGCGGGAAAUUGAGGGCCGAUGCGACGAAGACAAAAAUCUACCCUCUCUGGCCCCUCGCGGAAAGUUUGCUGAGCCCUGAGCUGCGCCCUCCCCCUCGUGCGGGGCGGGCAGGGACUGGCCUCCCGAGAGGGUGGACGGCGAGUCCCCCCGGAUGGUGACAGGGCACGCCUCUGCGUCACCAGGAAACGCGUGCCGAGGACCACCGGUGAGGCGCUGCGCGGGUCACGGCGCACAGCCAGGCUGGCCUUGUGAGCAAGGGCACCGGCUCUGGACUCGAGUUCCAGCUCCGGGCACGUUGUGCCUCGGUUUCCCCAUCCUGAAGGCAGGAAUACUCUCACCUCGUGGGAGAAAGGAUCCUCCUACCGCGGUCCGGAGACGAGCCUGUGUGAAAUCAGCCCGCCGCUCCGUCAGGACGCCUACGCCAGUCCCCUCCCUGCAUCUCGGGACGUGGGCACUCUACCGUCUCACGCCAUCACGACGAGAAGGCCUCUGCGGUGCCCCAAGCAUCUAUGCUGCCCACCUGGUGGACACUCAGUGGCUAUUUGUCCAACGGAUGAAUCCAGAGGACCGGAGUUUGGAACCUCUCACCUGACAGAAUGCACAUCCAUGGCGCUCAGCCUAGCCCCUGCCAGCUACCUCAGAGUGCAGACAUCCUUCGGGGAAGGGAUCACAGACUGGGCCCCUAGAACCUGCUACAGACAGCGCCCCGGGGGGCAGACCGUGCCAGCCGGUUAACAGGACCCCAGACGCUGCCGCCUCCCGCGGUGCCCCACGGUCACACUGCAGGGUAGGGGGCUCAGCGUCUUAUGCCCAUUUUAUAGGUGAGGACAGUGGAGGCCCCGAGCAAGGGCCUCACCCCGGCGCCAGACCCAGUGCUUUCCCCGCCCUGGUGGGCAGAACAGUGGAGAGCAGGCUCUGUGGGAUCCAGGUGUUCCAGGAGGGGCGGGACAUUGAGAGGGGGGCGAGAAAGGGCGUGGGGGACCGGGACCGCCCAGGGCCUCCCUCCAGAGGCUCUUCUUCCCGUCACUUCUUCUGGCCUUGUCACCAGGGGCUGAUGACCCCGGCUCGUCCCUGCCCCUCGCCUGGCCCCCCCACCUGCCCCGCAGGGGUUUCAUGGGUUCACGCGGCUGCCGAGCCAGGGCUGGCUGGGGCCCAGCGCUUUAUAGGGGAGGAGUCCUGGUCGCCUCCUGCCGCCAGUCACCUUUGGAGGUCGCUCCUGCUUGCUCAGGGGAAGCAUACCGGCCUCGUAAAAGCAUAAACCAGUGACUGGCAGUGAGAGGCGGCUGGAGAUAAGGCAGGACCUUUACAACCAGAUAAGCUGACAACAGCAUCCGGCCCCUUAAAUCUGGUCCAGCACCAGGCCCGGGGGCCGCCGAUGCCCGGCCGGGCUCGCACGAGAUAAGAGAGGGCAGAGCGGUGGGCUUCCUGGGCCCGCCAGAGGGGGCCGGCGGGGCCGGCUGCAGGCCUCCGGAUGGGGGCGCUGGGCUGGGGAAGGGGCCACCUGAAAACCGGCCACAUUAAUGGUAGGUGGGGCGGCUCAGAGCCCAGUGGGCUCGGUGUUUGGGGUUGCGUUUUAAUUUUUGUUUUCUCUGGGUUGCCAGAAAGGGGCUGUAAGGGCAUCUGGGUCCUGCAGCUCGAACAACGUGGGACCCCGGGCUCUGUUGUCCUGGAUGCCUGGUCUCCGCUGGCCUCACUCCGGGGCGGACGCCCCCUCCCCUUUCACCCCCUGUGAAACCCCGGCAGCUCAGGCUGGCGUCUCUGACCCCCGAGUCCUUAGGCAGGGGAGCGUGUGUCCCCAGAGUUUCUGCAAAAGCCCUGGAACAGAGGACCUCCCUCCCACCGCUGACCUCAAGAGCAGGCCUGCA